UAGGCCCAUCUUGACAUAAACCCAUUAGGUUACAUGCUACUAAAAUCAUUACCUGUUUAAACAUUUUAGAUUUUGUUUCUCUCUCACGUUGAAGUUUCUUAACAUUCCCUUUGAAAACCCUAGCUGCCGCUAUCAUUCCGGCCGUCGCCCCCUCCGUCCAGUAAACUUUGACAAAAUAAAAUACAUAUUUUUUUAUGCUCUCUUUCUCCUCUAUAUUUAUAUUAAAGUGUAUUUUAAAAAGGAGCAAUCUUGAAAAUUAAUGGAUGUGCAUUUUUCAACCUUCAACUGUUCACCUAUGAUGAAGCCAUGAACAACUCUCUCUACAGACCAACAACAAAGGAAUCAAAGACAUCAAAAGAAUAAAAAAAAUCAUAUCUAGUUUAAAUCUGUAUUUUUUUGGCAUCUUUGUGAGGUUCACACCAGAGCUCCGCCACAAAAGCUCCAAUCCGGUCAACUUUGAACUCAUUAAUAUGACAUUCAUCAUUUGCUGAAGAGAUGAAGAUAAAAAAAUGGAGAAACAAAAAAAGUUAGAUGAUAAAGUGACAUGAUAUUAUUUAUGAAGAAAUUGCAUAAAAGCUAAAUGUGGAAGUUUUUUUUUUCAUACCUUAAUCUUUUGUGUAGCAUGAAGUUUUUCA
Trifolium pratense (red clover) is the source of this 635-nucleotide long non-coding RNA. RefSeq lists it as uncharacterized. The record is from RefSeq and is a predicted model, not a curated record. The transcript has 2 exons. NCBI's taxonomy places the organism in Eukaryota, Viridiplantae, Streptophyta, Magnoliopsida, Fabales, Fabaceae.